GCUUGCUUUGGCAGCAUACAGUAAAACUGGAACCAUACAGAGAAAAAUUAGGAUGGCCUCUAGGCAAGAAUGACAAACAAACUAGUAAAGCAUUCUAGAUUUUU
Molecule: small nuclear RNA, 104 nt
Organism: Vombatus ursinus (common wombat)
Lineage: Eukaryota; Metazoa; Chordata; Mammalia; Diprotodontia; Vombatidae
Source: Ensembl